ACGGCUCAGUAACACGUGGAUAAUCUACCCUUAGGACCGGGAUAACCUUGGGAAACUGAGGAUAAUACUGGAUAGGCAAUUAUUCCUGUAAUGGUUUUUUGUUUAAAUGUUUUUUCGCCUAAGGAUGAGUCUGCGGCCGAUUAGGUAGUUGGUUAGGUAAUGGCUUACCAAGCCGUUGAUCGGUACGGGUUGUGAGAGCAAGAGCCCGGAGAUGGAACCUGAGACAAGGUUCCAGGCCCUACGGGGUGCAGCAGGCGCGAAACCUCCGCAAUGUGAGAAAUCGCGACGGGGGGAUCCCAAGUGCCAUUCUUAACGGGAUGGCUUUUCAUUAGUGUAAAGAGCUUUUGGAAUAAGAGCUGGGCAAGACCGGUACCAGCCGCCGCGGUAACACCGGCAGCUCUAGUGGUAGCAAUUUUUAUUGGGCCUAAAGCGUCCGUAGCCGGUUUAAUAAGUCUCUGGUGAAAUCCUGUAGCUUAACUGUGGGAAUUGCUGGAGAUACUAUUAGACUUGAGACCGGGAGAGGUUAGAGGUACUCCCAGGGUAGAGGUGAAAUUCUGUAAUCCUGGGAGGACCGCCUGUUGCGAAGGCGUCUAACUGGAACGGUUCUGACGGUGAGGGACGAAAGUUAGGGGCGCGAACCGGAUUAGAUACCCGGGUAGUCCUAACUGUAAACGAUGCGGACUUGGUGUUGGGGUGGCUUUGAGCUGCUCCAGUGCCGAAGGGAAACUGUUAAGUCCGCCGCCUGGGAAGUACGGUCGCAAGACUGAAACUUAAAGGAAUUGGCGGGGAGCAC
RNAcentral lists this ribosomal RNA (793 nucleotides) under uncultured archaeon. RNAcentral's name for it is "bacterial SSU rRNA". It matches the Rfam family "Archaeal small subunit ribosomal RNA", at positions 85 to 879 of the family's 1478-position model. The record is from RNAcentral.